Hyla sarda is the source of this 1618-nucleotide long non-coding RNA. RefSeq lists it as uncharacterized. The record is from RefSeq and is a predicted model, not a curated record. NCBI's taxonomy places the organism in Eukaryota, Metazoa, Chordata, Amphibia, Anura, Hylidae. The transcript has 4 exons.
GGCCCCCCGGGGAAAAUGUACAGCCCGGAACGACUAACCCUCCCCACCAGACGGUCCCUGCAGCAUAGAUGGCCCGGACCAGCUCACCCUUGCUUCCCACCGAGGGGAGGGCGACUCUGAACGGCGCAGCACUGAGGCAGCAGUACGUAGACGACGUACACUUACGACGGGGUGAGGAGUUAGUAGUGCAGCCCAGCAUCGGGCACUAGAGGCUUCAUACAGCAGGACUAUCUAGUGUCCGACUCUUCGGAACAUAUAACAGACAGAGGGGUCUUAUUUGUGGUGCACGAGUGCAUCGGCUAGUGGAAGCGCCUGUAGUGCGGAAAACAGUGCUGUCCCAAGACCCCUGCCUCUAAGACCCUGCACGCCGAAGCUAUGUAUGUGCACCGAUACCUUCAAUAAAGACCCCUGAAUGGCUCCUCAUAACCCCAAGGCUGUAUCUUCCUGAAGGAGCUUCUGAAGAGGGACAAGGCUUACGGUGCAAACCCAGGUCCUGCACCCCUACAGAUACUGGAGAAAAUGGUGAAGAGGCCUCAGCGCAGGAGGAGAGAUGAGAGGGAUUUAAAUUUUAUUAUGUAUUUAUUAUGUAAUUUCGGAGGACGCCUAGAAAAGAAGAAAAUGGCUUGAAAAGAAAAAGUUUUUCCAUUGAUCUUCCUUAUUAUAUUGUGGCUAACAAACAACUUCAAAAGCAUUUAAACCAGUCGACACAAGUUAAAGGGGUAUUCCAGGAUUUUUAUUUUUUAUUUGACUAUGCUACAGGGGCUGUAAAGUUAGUGUAGUUCAUAAUAUAGUGUCUGUACCUGUGUCGGUUUUCUCACAAUUCUUAUGUGAUUUUCACUCCAAUAUUUAUUUUUACCUGCAUACAAAAUGACUGCUGUCUCAGAUUUUUCCCAGCUUGCAAUGCGGCAAUCACUAGUCAGCUGAUGACAGGGAGCCUGUCUGCUUCAAUGGGUGGAGCGAUCGCUUGGUGGGAAAGAGAUCAGUCUGCAACUAAUGCAACAGCUGUAGGCACCCUGAUUGAAAACCACAGGUCUUUUGAAUGGAUGCAGCUCAUUUAUGUUUCAAUGGGUGGGGUGGCUGAUGUGGGAGAGGGAGGAAAAUGGAAUUAUGAGAUUUGUAGUAAAAAAAAAAAAAAGAAAAGUCAAACAGGAAAUACAGGUUCACAAAAAGCUAGCCACAGUGUUAUGGUAAUCUCACAACAUAGCCAUUUAGCCCCAAGACAAGAGCAGAUCCUUCCUAAGCAUGUCCAUUACUGUCUGCCAGGUACGUACUAAAAUCACCUUAUGGUGGAGAACCCCUUUAAAUGGUCACCAUCAUUUCAACAAACUUGACAUAAAUCAAAAGUACAAGUGAAUGUAAGAAACUUUGCAUUAUAAAUUAUUGGAGAAAAAUGCUUCUUUUUCCUCUUAUCUUAUUGAAAGAUUGCUUAUACGUGUCCCCUAAGAAGAUUAGGGAGCCGGUAAUUACACUUACUGGUAAUUCUGUUUCCCUGAGCCACACCAGCACUACCUGAGAGGGACUCCACUCCUAAGGACAGGAAACCUGGAGAUUAAGAGGGAGUGCCCUCCACCCGAGAGAUACUGUAUAAGAGCCUCACAUUAGUUAGUGGACAAAUAUA